UGGCUCAGAGCGAACGCUAGCGGCGAGCUUAACACAUGCAAGUCGAGCGGAGGGUUUCGGCCCUCAGCGGCGGACGGGUGAGUAACACGUAGGUUACGUGCCCUUUGGUGGGGAAUAACUUAGGGAAACCUGAGCUAAUACCGCAUAUGCCCUUCGGGGUGAAAGUCUUCGGACGCCAGAGGAUCGGCCUGCGGCCCAUUAUUUAAUCCUUGUUGGUGGGGUAACGGCCUACCAAGGGUACGAUGGGUAGCUGGUCUGAGAGGAUGAUCAGCCACACUGGGACUGAGACACGGCCCAGACUCCUACGGGAGGCAGCAGUGGGGAAUAUUGGACAAUGGGGGAAACCCUGAUCCAGCUACGCCGCGUGGGUGAUGAAGGCCUUCGGGUUGUAAAGCCCUGUCGAGGGGGACGAAGUUCUGACGGUACCCCUCAAGAAAGCACCGGCUAACUCCGUGCCAGCAGCCGCGGUAAAGUCUGUACU
This 481-nucleotide ribosomal RNA is filed under the name uncultured bacterium. RNAcentral's name for it is "bacterial SSU rRNA". It matches the Rfam family "Bacterial small subunit ribosomal RNA", at positions 20 to 531 of the family's 1533-position model. The record is from RNAcentral.